GAGUUUGAUCAUGGCUCAGAAUGAACGCUGGCGGCGUGCUUAACACAUGCAAGUCGAACGGUAACAGAAGAGCUUGCUCUUGCUGACGAGUGGCGCACGGGUGAGUAAUGCAUAGGUAACGUGCCCCUUAGUCUAGGAUAGCCACUGGAAACGGUGAUUAAUACUGGAUACUCCUUCUUCCUUAAUGGAAGUUGGGAAAGUUUUUCGCUAAGGGAUCGGCCUAUGUUGUAUCAGGUAGUUGGUGAGGUAAUGGCUCACCAAGCCUAUGACACAUAGCGGGUCUGAGAGGAUGAUCCGCCACACUGGUACUGAGACACGGACCAGACUCCUACGGGAGGCAGCAGUGGGGAAUAUUGCACAAUGGACGAAAGUCUGAUGCAGCAACGCCGCGUGGAGGAUGACACAUUUCGGUGCGUAAACUCCUUUUAUAUGAGAAGAUAAUGACGGUAUCAUAUGAAUAAGCACCGGCUAACUCCGUGCCAGCAGCCGCGGUAAUACGGAGGGUGCAAGCGUUAUUCGGAAUCACUGGGCGUAAAGGGUGCGUAGGCGGUUUGAUAAGUCUGAUGUGAAAUCCUAUGGCUCAACCAUAGAACUGCAUUGGAAACUGUCAGACUAGAAUACUGAAGGGGCAGAUGGAAUUAGUGGUGUAGGGGUAAAAUCCGUAGAUAUCACUAGGAAUACCGAAAGCGAAAGCGAUCUGCUGGGAAGUUAUUGACGCUGAGGCACGAAAGCGUGGGGAGCAAACGGGAUUAGAUACCCCGGUAGUCCACGCCCUAAACGAUGAAUGCUAGUCGUCGGAAAGCUCGUCUUUUCGGUGAUGCAGUUAACACAUUAAGCAUUCCGCCUGGGGAGUACGGUCGCAAGAUUAAAACU
This 873-nucleotide ribosomal RNA is filed under the name uncultured Campylobacterota bacterium. RNAcentral's name for it is "bacterial SSU rRNA". It matches the Rfam family "Bacterial small subunit ribosomal RNA", at positions 9 to 901 of the family's 1533-position model. Lineage: Bacteria; Pseudomonadati; Campylobacterota. The record is from RNAcentral.